CGCAUUCGCCCUUCGGGGUGCACCAGGCGCGAAAACUUUACAAUGCUGGAAACAGCGAUCGGGGGACUUUGAGUGCCAGGAUACAAUCUUGGCUGUCGUAAUGCCUAAAAAGCAUUGCAUAGCAAGGGCCGGGCAAUACCGGUGCCAACCGCCGCGGUAACACCGGCGGCUCGAGUGGUAACCGCUAUUAUUGGGUCUAAAGGGUCUGUAGCCGGCUGGAUAAUUCUCUUGGGAAAUCCGACAGCUUAACUGUCAGGCUUUCAGGAGAUACUGUCCGGCUCGAGACCGGGAGAGGUGAGAGGUACUUCAUGGGUAGGGGUGAAAUCUUGUAAUCCUUGAAGGACCACCAGUGGCGAAGGCGUCUCACCAGAACGGAUCUGACGGCAAGGGACGAAAGCUAGGGGCACGAACCGGAUUAGAUACCCGGGUAGUCCUAGCCGUAAACGAUACUCGCUAGGUGUCAGCCACUGUGCAACCGUGGUUGGUGCCGUAAGGAAACCGUGAAGCGAGCCACCUGGGAAGUACGGCCGCAAGGCUGAAACUUAAAGGAAUUGGCGGGGGAGCAC
This 566-nucleotide ribosomal RNA is filed under the name uncultured archaeon. RNAcentral's name for it is "bacterial SSU rRNA". It matches the Rfam family "Archaeal small subunit ribosomal RNA", at positions 313 to 879 of the family's 1478-position model. The record is from RNAcentral.